Molecule: long non-coding RNA, 699 nt
Organism: Helicoverpa zea (corn earworm)
Lineage: Eukaryota; Metazoa; Arthropoda; Insecta; Lepidoptera; Noctuidae
Exons: 2
Source: RefSeq, a predicted model, not a curated record
CUAGAUAUACAGAGUCACGGACUAGUAAAAAAAGUAAGGACUCCGCGUCACCUACAUAAAAGUGAAGCACCCAAAACAAGCCGGCUCCGUGUAAAUACGAACCUACACGCACACACUUACAUAAACAUAAGCCGAUAGAUAGACCGCCAUUACGCUCGCGACCAUCAUCGGUGACAGUUCAUAUUUUUCGCGUAUAAAAAAUUGACAUAAUGCCGUCAUGUGUCGUGAAAUGGUGCAAAAAUAAUACCACUUUACACAAAAAGUGCCAAGGGAUUACUUUUCACAGGUUUCCUACCGGAAAUGAACCUUGGAAAAAUGAUUGGGUGAGAAUAAUAAGGAACUCUAGAGGUCAAGAAGAUUGGACCUCAACCAAGAGUAGUGUGGUAUGCAGCAUACAUUUUGAUCAAAAUGAUUUAUAUACCACGUCAAAAGGACGCCGUCGAGCAACGAUCGCCGCGCUCGACGCGGAUCGCGACGCGGCGCGUGGGCUGCGCGAGCUUCAUACAAUAUUGAGCUGUUGAUGCGAUUGAUGCGAAUAGUAGAACAUUGUUACGAUUAGGAUUACCGAAUGUACUUAUUUUAUUAUGUUUUUUUUUGUGUUGGUAAAUGGCCUUACUUACGUGUCAAUUUUCAAUUUCAUUUUCACUUGCAUUUUUAUUUUAUUUUAUAAGUACUUUGAAAAUAAAUCACUCAAACGCA